UGGAUUAGGCAUGCAAGUCGAACGGUCGCUUAGCUUUUUCGAGCGGCAGUGGCGAAAGGGUGAGUAACACGUGGGAUACGUACCCUUAGGCUCGGGAUAACCAGUGGAAAGAUUGGCUAAUACCGGAUGUUUUCAUCUAUUUUCGAAUAGGUGAGCAAAGAUAGGGACGUCUUUGGAGGCCUGUCACCUUUGGAUCGGCCCGCAGCCUAUCAGCUAGUUGGUGAGGUAAUGGCUCACCAAGGCUAAGACGGGUAGCUGGACUGAGAGGUUGGUCAGCCACACUGGAACUGAGACACUGUCCAGACAUCUACGGAUGGCAGCAGUCGAGAAUCUUUCGCAAUGGGGGAAACCCUGACGAAGCCACGCCGCGUGGAGGAUGAAGGUCUUCGGAUUGUAAACUCC
RNAcentral lists this ribosomal RNA (402 nucleotides) under uncultured organism. Its description in RNAcentral is "bacterial SSU rRNA". It matches the Rfam family "Bacterial small subunit ribosomal RNA", at positions 45 to 433 of the family's 1533-position model. The record is from RNAcentral.